GGUAGAAUGGCUGAGUGUUAAGCGGUGGAUUGUAAUCCCAUGAACAGAGGUUCAAACCCUCUUUCUACCA
This 70-nucleotide transfer RNA is filed under the name Johnius distinctus. RNAcentral describes it as "tRNA-Tyr". It matches the Rfam family "tRNA". Rfam says of the family: Transfer RNA (tRNA) molecules are approximately 80 nucleotides in length. Their secondary structure includes four short double-helical elements and three loops (D, anti-codon, and T loops). The record is from RNAcentral. Lineage: Eukaryota; Metazoa; Chordata; Actinopteri; Sciaenidae.